GACGAACGCUGGCGGCGUGCCUAAUACAUGCAAGUUGAGCGCUGAAGGUUGGUACUUGUACCGACUGGAUGAGCAGCGAACGGGUGAGUAACGCGUGGGGAAUCUGCCUUUGAGCGGGGGACAACAUUUGGAAACGAAUGCUAAUACCGCAUAAAAACUUUAAACACAAGUUUUAAGUUUGAAAGAUGCAAUUGCAUCACUCAAAGAUGAUCCCGCGUUGUAUUAGCUAGUUGGUGAGGUAAAGGCUCACCAAGGCGAUGAUACAUAGCCGACCUGAGAGGGUGAUCGGCCACAUUGGGACUGAGACACGGCCCAAACUCCUACGGGAGGCAGCAGUAGGGAAUCUUCGGCAAUGGACGAAAGUCUGUCCGAGCAACGCCGCGUGAGUGAAGAAGGUUUUCGGAUCGUAAAACUCUGUUGGUAGAGAAGAACGUUGGUGAGAGUGGAAAGCUCAUCAAGUGACGGUAACUACCCAGAAAGGGACGGCUAACUACGUG
RNAcentral lists this ribosomal RNA (497 nucleotides) under uncultured bacterium. RNAcentral's name for it is "partial 16S ribosomal RNA". It matches the Rfam family "Bacterial small subunit ribosomal RNA", at positions 28 to 507 of the family's 1533-position model. The record is from RNAcentral.